AGCCCGGGCUGCACGCAUGCGCCACGGCUCUCCUACAGCCCCCGGGCCUGUUCGCCGGUAGCAGCCGCCCGGUCAAUCCGCAGUGCCCGGGAGCAGUAUGGCGGUGCGCAGGGUGCGGGUGCCGGCACCGGGGGCAGCGUCAGAGGCCACACUGAGGACGCAGUUGUCCAUUCCGCCCCUGGGGAUGUUGUUGACUGCAAACACCUCGGCAUGCAUGGGCUGUCUCUGCUCGGCCUUGCUCCCCUGACGUCGUGGGGGUGAAAAGGACAAACGGAGCACUCACUGGCUGUGGACAGGAGCUAACACUGCUGAAGCUGGAGAGGCCAAAGGAAGGUAAAGAAGAUGGAAUCGAAUGCCAGCCAGCCAGCAGAUAUCUCCUCCUGCAGGCAAGAGAGAGCUUGUGUCUCCGGAUGAGGAAGGAUCCCUAUUCGCAGUCCACAGCAGGCCAGAGGGCCGACAUGCACCGCGGGGUCUGUACAUGUUACCUCCAGCACAGUACAGCUGUGUAGAGCACGAGUGAGCAAGGCUGCAUGCCUGAGAAGCCUCGUAUCGCUGGAGCUGUGAGACACCCAUGUGCUCUCUGAGAUGGAGGGCAGCCCAGCAACCCGAACUGUAGAAGAGGAAGAGAAGAGACAAGGAGAAAGAAGCAUCUGACCCACCAAAUUAUCCCACUGGCGGCAAGAGCUGCACUGGAUUUCAAAAGAACUAGGGCCUUGCUGGGCAGCUACCAAGGGCAGCCCCCAGCCUGGAUGGCAGGAUCCAGUUAAGGCCAUCGCUCAUCAGCAGCACCAGGAAGAUGACGAUCUGCAGCAACAUGAGGAACACACAAACUCUCCUGUGGGAUAGAAGAGGGGUCAGGCAGAGCAGAGGCCAAGUUUGUCUCAGCUGUUUCCAAGCACCCUCUUUGAACGCCACAGUGGGACUUUGCACUAUGCUGGGCACAACAGGCUACGCUCAGGACUGGGGUGAGGGGUCCGAGCAUCUGUCUCGACUCUGCUGUUGGUCUUGCCAGUGUGCUCCAAAAUCCCCCUCUACAUGCCCCCCAAGUUGGGAAGAAAAGAAAUACUGAAACACUUGAUCUUUUGGAGAAGUUCAAAGCUGCCUAAUGCUCUUUUGGACCUCUGGCAUGGGCAUCCCACCGCCUAUGGAAGAGCCCUGGACCCCAGGGCAACUCACUGCAGCCAAGAAAUUAUCUUAUUCCUCCUUGUCCAUGAAGCUGCUGGCUCUUGGAAGCCUUCACAUUUCUGCCGGAGGACCUUGAGCCUGUUCCUGAGCAACUGGACAAGCAGAGGGCCCAGUCAAGAGCUUAUGCCAUGCCUGCUUGGAGGGGGCUUCCCCCCACAGACAUGUGGAUCCCUGGUCUCUCCUGUCCCCAGUACCUUCUUGACCUCAGCCUGCUCCCGAACAGCUCCUGCCAACUCUGACCACUGCUGCCUCUGGAAAGCAAGUGGGAUGCAUCGCAGGGAGCCUCAAAGGGUGGCAAAGGGCAGCCCCAGUCAGUGCCCAGGGCCUGGGAGGGCAGGGCAGGGCCAGGGCAGUAGCACCCAGGUGUCCUGGUGCUGGCACCAUUGUCCAGCAGCUCAGUCACCCCCGAGCAGGUCACAAACCUUGCUCCUGCACUGGGCCAGAGCCAGAGUGUUCCCAUUCCACACGGCAUCCCUAGGGACACAUGUGAGGGUCACUCAUCCCACUCCCUUCCCCAAAGCCAUGGUGCUGUGCCUGCAGACUGUGAGAGACUAAACUGGAAUCAGACUCCACUGUCCCUUGUCUCAAAGAUUGGUAUGAGAAGCUGAGAUGGGAUUGCACCUUCCAUUUUCUGAGACAUGGGUGGGAGGAGUUGAGGUACAACUGUCCAUUGCCUGAGAGAUAGGUCUGAGGAGCUGAAAUGGGACUCUACUGUCCAUUGCCUGAGAGAUGGGUGGGAGGAGCUAACACUCCUCUGUCCAUUAUCUCAAGGACUGGUGUGAGGAAUUUCUGCCCUUUAUCUUAAGGGUUGCUGACAGACAUGUGCAGUUGAAGAGCUGGCUGCUGUGAUCCACCAGUAAUGUACAGUACAUGACAUUAAGAACAGAGGUACUCCCCCCAACACAUAAUAAAAGGGGAAAAAGGUAAUUGCCAUUGGGGACACCCUCCACUGAUGCCAACUAUGGACCCUGGGGGACACCCACCACGGAAGACGAUGACUAUGGACCCUUGGGAUGCCACUGGAUCCAUGGUGGUGACUGCUAUCUUUCUGCGCUUUGAAUGCUUGCUUAAUUUCUAUCUUUUUUUUCCAAUCUGUCCUAUCACUAUCUUUUUUUAAUAAGAAUCUUCUUUUUUAUAAUAAUUGUCUUUUCAUAAUAAACAAACUGACCAAUUACAGGACUUGAA
Molecule: long non-coding RNA, 2370 nt
Organism: Strigops habroptila (Kakapo)
Lineage: Eukaryota; Metazoa; Chordata; Aves; Psittaciformes; Psittacidae
Exons: 3
Source: RefSeq, a predicted model, not a curated record